Molecule: ribosomal RNA, 253 nt
Filed under: uncultured bacterium
Lineage: Bacteria
Description: partial 16S ribosomal RNA
Rfam family: Bacterial small subunit ribosomal RNA
Source: RNAcentral
UACGAAGGGGACUAGCGUUGUUCGGAUUUACUGGGCGUAAAGCGCGCGUAGGCGGAUCGCUAAGUCAGGGGUGAAAUCCCAGGGCUCAACCCUGGAACUGCCUUUGAUACUGACGAUCUGGAGAUCGGGAGAGGUUGGUGGAAUUCCGAGUGUAGAGGUGAAAUUCGUAGAUAUUCGGAGGAACACCAGAAGCGAAGGCGGCCAACUGGCCCGAUACUGACGCUGAGGCGCGAAAGUCAGGGGAGCAAACGGG